CUCCCAAGGACCGCGCUCUCCAGAGCCACUCCGCCUCCAACGGAUGAAGCCCUCGACGGUUGGCAAAAGGGGUAGCCAGGAUCAUGGCCCACAUCCUCCCCAUUCCCUGCCCGGUGAAGCUGGGGACGUUGAAAAAUGAAUCCCUUGAAGCUCGAUUCCACGAAUAUGUGAAGCAAGGAAACUACGUGAAGGUGAAGAAGCUUCUGAAGAAAGGGAUCAGUGCUGACACUAUCAACUCCUUGGGGCAGACACCCCUAUUCACGGCUGCCUUGCUUGGUCUUGGCAAAGUUGUCAACAUUCUUCUGGAUUACGGUUCGGAUCCAAAUCACCGCUGUUAUGAUGGGAGUACUCCUGUCCAUGCCGCUGCUUUCUCGGGCAACCAGUCGAUCCUCAGUAAAUUGCUGGAUGCGGGCGGAGACCUGCGAGUCCACGACAAGAAUGGGAGGAACCCACAGAGCUGGGCUGUGACGGCUGGGAAGGAAAGCAGAGCUCAGGUGCUUGAGUUUAUCCAGCGUUGUACUGCCCACAUGCAGGCCACCCUGCAGAACUAUUCCUUGGACUUGCUCAGGAAGGUGGACUCGCCCAGAGCCUUGGUCAGUAGCCCCUCCAAGUUUGUGGGCAUCAAGCAAGGGACAGCCGACAAGUUCCUGAAACGUGGAAGCAGCACCCCCCCAAACAUUUACAGCUUUGGCUUUGGGAAGUUUUAUCUCACAGGCAGCCGGCAGCUGGGUUACCUAGCAUCACUCCCAAUAAUUGCGGACAAAGAAGUGGUCCAGGCUGACGACGAACCGACCACCUCGUUUCCCGCAGGGCCGUACAUGAUGAUGACUAAUUUGAUGUGGGGCGGAAACCGAGUCACCGUGAAGGAGCUGAAUAUGAAGCCCCACCAGCACUGCUGCAAGCUGCGCCUCUCUGACCUCCUCCUUGCAGAGCAGGAAUACAGCAGCAAACUCCGUCACCCUCAUUUGCUGCAGCUGAUGGCUGUCUGCUUAUCCAGCGACUUGGAGAAAACGCGAUUAGUGUUUGAGAGGGUUAACUUUGGCUCGCUCUAUAGCAUCCUUCAUGAGAGGCGUUCGGAGUUCCCAAUCGUGCACAUGGAGACGCUCGUGCACCUUCUGCUCCAGGUGAAUGACGGCUUGAGGUUCCUGCACUUGCGUGGCUUUGUUCACCGCACCGUCAGCUCCUACGCAGUGGUGGUUGUUUUGGCUGGGGAGGCCAAACUUACCAAUCUGGAGUACAUGAUCGAAAGCAAAGAUGGGGGCGAGCACAGCGACCUGACGCGGGUGCCCAUCCCUUCCCAGUUACACAAAUGGUGCGCCCCGGAAGUGAUCCUCGAGAAGGCUGCCACCCUGAAAUCUGACAUCUACAGCUUCUGUGCAGUGAUGCAGGAGGCUCUCACAGAUACCAUUCCCUGGGAUGGAUUUGAGGGUUCGGCUGUUAAGGAUCUCAUCGUUUCCGGGCAGUGGCUGGAGGCAGACGCCAGGCUCCCCAUACCCUAUUACGACAUUGUGAAGACUGGCCUCAAGUCCAGGCAAAAGCAACGCACUAUGAACCUCCAGGACAUCCGAUACAUCCUGAAGAAUGACUUAAAGGAUUUGAUGGAGUCUCGCAGGAUCCGCCCUGGUGAAAGCUCUGGACCUCUGAAGGCUGAACCCCGUCCUGACAUUAACAUCUGCUUGCCGUCCGCCUCCGCUGUCUCGGUCAAGGUGCCGGAGCUGCCAGAGGAAGAGGCGGCAGCCUGGGGCACCCCAUGUCUGCCUUCCAGGAGCUUCACCGUGACAAGAUGCGCCGCUUCCGCUCCCGAAAUCGAAGGUGCAAUUGCCCACAGGUCAGAGCCUGUCCUCCGCACCGCUCAGUCAAGCCCCCUCUUGGCCCCUAAAGUCCAGGGCGACACCAAUGACUGCAACGAGAGCCUCUGCAGCUUUGAAAUCAACGAGAUCUAUACGUGCUACCCGGAGCUGUGUGGGGACGGUGCGGAGGAGGGUGAGGCGGCGGAGGCAGGGCUGGGUCAGGGAGCCCGAAGGGAGUCUCGAACCGUCCCAGGGGACAGGGCUGAAGUCCCUUUGCCGAUGCCGUCUGCCAAAAUACAGGACGGGAGGGUGAGCUGUUGCAGCGAGGGGGGUGCCUCCUCCGACACCAAAUCGGAGUACACCAGAGAGGAGUUCACUUACAUGUCCCGGCCCUGCCCAUUGCACCAAGUGGUGAGAUUCGCCAGCUGCAGAGGCAGGACUGGCCACUUCGAGGUCGGGCACUACUUCGGAAAGUGCGUCCUGAACCUGAAGAUUUCCCAGACUUUGCUGCAGCAAGCAAGGGAUUCCAUCUGCAGGACGGAAGAGAGGCUGGAUGAACUGGAGACCUUCAGGAACCAUCACCCCCAACUGUUUCUGGGGGCCCAAGGGAAGCAGCAGCAGCGCACCUUAAGCUCUGUAAUUCGGGGCUACCGGAAGGAGGACGACACUUUCAGAAAUAUCAGGGCGCCCUGCAACGGAGCCAGUGCCUUGCCCUGGAAAGCGGUGAGCCCUCCUUCAAUGAGCUACGUGCCUCCACCGCUACGCGUCCUGGGUGUACGUAGGCCGCUGGUUAUUCAUUCUUUCCAGGCGGUGGGACAGGAGCGCAAAGGUGACUGCAGGAGCCAGGACACCACCUGCUGGAGUGAUUUUGGAUUGGAAGCACCCAAAAGCCCUGGGAACGGAGAAGUGGAGCCAGACUAUCAGCCUUUGCAACCAGGCGUGUCCGUCAGGAGGAAAAGGAACGCAAGUCCGCAGCCUCAGCGUGGGAGCUCUACGGCGGAUGGGUUCGUUUCAAAGUCAACUCCUGAAAUUUAUGAAGAGAGUUUGAGAAGUGAGGAGAGGAGGAUGGCGCAGUCUGAAUGGACGACUGAAGUGAAGCACAUGGCAAGACAAGCAGCUUCUGGGCAGCUGGGCCUUCCACGCCACUAUCCUCCCAGUGAAUGGACCUCAGAGAGUGAGGUGGAGAGCAUCAAGGACAUUUUUCGGGGUGCCGGCAACAAGGAGAGUGUUGGGUUCCGCCAGUGGGAUGCUGAGGCAGGGGCGCUGCAGGCUGGGAGUAGUGUUGGGGACCAUCGGCCAAUCCUUGACUGUGAAGAAGAGAGUGACCUGAAGAUUGUCUUGAAAAGAUUCUUGCAACCCGAGACCCAAAGUGUGAGCCACUGGAUUGGAGGCAGAAGCAGGCAAUUUCCAGCAAAUGGGGCCUUAACUGAGAGUGGCGUCGCCUCACGCGAGAGCGCGGCCCUUUCUGUCACCGCUGAGGACCUUUGCCGGGGACAGGUGGAGGAACUGGGCCCCUCCCCAUCUUCCUCCCUUGAUGUGUCAGAUGAGUUUUUAACUCCUGAUCCAGAGUUCUUCUGCUCUUCUGUUCCUCCUGACAGCUCAGAACUAGAGAACUCAGCUGCUGCAGAAGGGGAAAACCUGGAAAUCACCCAAGAUAUUUGCAGUCAAGAAGAAGACAUGGAGAUGUCCCAAGAAAUCUGUGGGCAGAAAGAAUGCCCCAUGCAUGCAGAGCAAUGUGGAAAACUGCUUGUCCGUGGCACAGAGGCAAAACAUCUCCACAGUGAGGCGCCAGGGGAGGAUCUCUUUACACCUGCUGCCAGCAUCAGAGCUACGCAAGGCACGAGACCCAGCGAGGCGCCGAGAGAGUUCAAAGAGAGAGAUGUAUCCCUCAUAGAUAUUCAGGAUUUGUCCAGUAUUUCGUACGAGAACUCGUAUAAGCCAACAGCUCAUAAAACGCCCCGAAGCACCCUCUCGCCAGCUGAUGCCAGCACCCCCCUUAGCCCAGUGCCAGCGUCGCCCAGGUUUUCCUCCACUGUCACAAAGUACAAAGAUUACUGCCUGAUGACGAUAGACACGACAAGCUGGGGGAGCCCAAAGGCUUCCUUGUCGGGAUUCAGCACCUUUGCUACUUCCUGCGGCAAAGGGAAGGUCACCGAGCUCCCCUUGGCCCUCCGGCAGGCAGCGCCUGGACUCUCCAGACCUUGUGCCUCAUUAGAAAUCUCUGUCCAGUUGCCUCUUCGAAGGGACCAGAAAGAAUCAGAAACAAUUUCUCCCACUCAGCAAAGACACCUCUGGAAAGGUGCAGCAGCGAUUCCUGGUCAAGCUGAUUCGGAAGACCAAGAAACAACAUUGAACAAGUGCCAAGCUGAUUGCAGCCUCUGGACCAGUGAGACUUCGUAUCUGGGAGAAGAGACAGAAAGGGCUCACUCAAGUCUUGACGAUGUUUUGGAAGGCGUUCUCGGGCCGACAGCCGACAGCCGCAACCCUCGCGAAGAGCUGCCGUCCCCCAUCAAGAGGAGUCAACACGACUCUUUGAAUGGAGCUGAAGGCUGAACCUCCCAGCUGUGAUGUAAACCUUCACCGACUCUGCGCAACGGAACUGAUCUGCUCUAAACUUCCAUCUAACAAAAAAACAUGGUUGUCGAACACAGCGAUGGGGGGAACUGUAUCCUUCCUGAUGUUGUUGGGGCUCCAAUGCCAGAGGAUCUGCUUGGCAUGUAGAAGGCCCCAGGCUCCAUUCGUGGCAGCCCCAGAACUCGCAGACAUUCAAGGAAGCUGAAUGUUGGAAGGUUCCGGGCAGACAGAAGGAAUUCUUUGCAUAGCAACAACGCAACAGGAAGCCUGCAACCAGGACCUGAGCACAAGAGGACUCUCCUCCGGUUUCCAGCAACUGGUAUUCGGAAGCAUACAGCCUCUGACUGUGGAGGCAGAAAGGAAUCUCAGAUUCAAAUGCAUUACACAAAAAAGAAAUCCAAUUCUAAGAAAUGGGAAGAUGCGAGUGUGACCCAUGGUAAGAAACAGGGAAAGUGCACUCAGAUAGUGGACAGACAAGGACUUCAUUGAGCACCAGAACUUGCCCCCUCUUUUUGUUUUGUCCUCAUUUUUUUUUUCUGGACUUAUUUGUGGUAACAGAAGCCAGAUGGACAAAUGCUAGAUCAGGGACCCGCCACAGGGAGGUAAGCUGUGAGCAGGGGAGGAAGUACCAUAGGUCAGUGGUAAGAGCAUCUGCUUUACAUUCAGCAGACUCCAGGUUCAGUCCCCAGCAUCUCCAGGUAGGGCUGGGAAUGUCCCGACUGAAACCAUAGAGAGCUACUGCCAGUCAGUGUAGACAGUACUGAGCUAGAUGGAUCCAUGGCUUAAGAACAUACAAAGAGCCCUGCUGGUUCAGGCCAAAGACCCAUCUAGUCCAGAAUUCUGUUCUCACAGGGGCCAACUAGGUGCCCAUGGGAAGUCUUCAAGCAGCACCUGGGUGCAACAGCACUCUCCGCACCUGUGAUUCCCAGCUAUUGGUAUUCAGAAACAUACUGCUUUUAACAGUGAAGGCAGAAUAAAGCUAUUGUGGCUAGCAGCCAUUGACUCUGUAUAUGGCAGCUUCCUAUGUAUCUAGUCCCUGUGACUCAUGUAACAUUUGCUGCUUAAAUUUCCCCCUGCCCUCCACUUUGUGUGUGAUUUGUGGCAUAACCACAUUUAAAGACGGGGAUACAUCAAAGUUGGUA
Molecule: RNA transcript, 5506 nt
Organism: Rhineura floridana
Lineage: Eukaryota; Metazoa; Chordata; Lepidosauria; Squamata; Rhineuridae
Gene: TEX14
Gene name: testis expressed 14, intercellular bridge forming factor
Exons: 30
Source: RefSeq, a predicted model, not a curated record